Gigantopelta aegis is the source of this 447-nucleotide long non-coding RNA. RefSeq lists it as uncharacterized. NCBI's taxonomy places the organism in Eukaryota, Metazoa, Mollusca, Gastropoda, Neomphalida, Peltospiridae. The transcript is spliced from 3 exons. The record is from RefSeq and is a predicted model, not a curated record.
CUAUCUAUCGACUUAUAAUAAAAAAAACAAAAUCGGUAUAUUAGUUUAUCAGGUACUUGUCAACUAGUUGUAACUAGUUUCGCUGAUAACAUUGUACCACUGAUUACCACAAGUGUCCUAAUUUCGACUGUGAAAGGAUUGUCUAACUAACAUGUGGCACAGCCUUUUGCUUGGAUUGUUGUUGGCACUUGUCAAUGCCGAAAAUGAUGUUUCAGACUGUUAUCUACCAAAGACUAUCGGACCAUGUGAAGCGCUGAUACCGUCAUAUUACUACAACCCAGGGAGCGGUCAUUGCGAACAUUUUAACUAUGGCGGCUGUAUGGGCAACGCAAAUCGGUUUUCGCACCUACAGGACUGCAUUAUGAAAUGUCAGAGACAAAUCAACAUACUUAAAUUAAUUAAUUAAUUAAUUAAUUAAAUUAAAAUAAAAUAAAAUAUUCAAAUUUA